UACAGAGGGGGCCAGCGUUAUUCGGAAUUAUUGGCGUAAAGGGCGCGUAGGCGGCCAUGCGUGUCUUCCGUGAAAUCCCUCGGCUUAACUGAGGACGUGCGGAAGAAACUGCAAGGCUUGAGUCCGGGAGGAGGGGGGGUGGAAUUCCCAGUGUAGCGGUGAAAUGCGUAGAUAUUGGGAGGAACACCGGUGGCGAAGGCGGCCCCUGGACCGGUCACU
Molecule: ribosomal RNA, 219 nt
Filed under: uncultured bacterium
Lineage: Bacteria
Description: partial 16S ribosomal RNA
Rfam family: Bacterial small subunit ribosomal RNA
Source: RNAcentral